CUGUACCUCUUUUAUCAGGAAAAAUCUGACGGUAUUGAUAAUAACCACGGCUAAUUCCGUGCCAGCAGCCGCGGUAAUACGGGAGUGGCAAGCGUUAUCCGGAAUUAUUGGGCGUAAAGCGUCCGCAGGCGGUCUUGUAAGUCUGUCGUUAAAGCGUGGAGCUUAACUCCAUUUGAGCGAUGGAAACUGCAAGACUAAGAGUGUGGUAGGGGCAGAGGGAAUUCCCGGUGUAGCGGUGAAAUGCGUAGAUAUCGGGAAGAACAACCAGUGGCGAAGGCGCUCUUGCUGGGCCAUAACUGACGCUCAUGGACGAAAGCCAGGGGAGCGAAAGGGGAAUUAGAUAACCCCAUGNUAGGUCCUGGCACGUAAACGAUGAGACACUGAGGGUGGUCAGGGGGAGCAAUUCGACACCCCGUCGUGUGUCAGUAGCCAAACGCGUUUAAGGUUGUUUCCCGGCCUGGGGGGAGGUUACGCCACGCAUGGUGUGAAACUCAGAAGGGAAUUGCACGGGAGGCCCCAGCACAUAAGCGCGUGGGACGUAUAGUUGGUUAUAGAUUCCGAUUUGCAACGCGAAAGAACCUGUACCAGGGGUUUGACAUUCCU
This 603-nucleotide ribosomal RNA is filed under the name uncultured bacterium. Its description in RNAcentral is "bacterial SSU rRNA". It matches the Rfam family "Bacterial small subunit ribosomal RNA", at positions 423 to 991 of the family's 1533-position model. The record is from RNAcentral.